RNAcentral lists this long non-coding RNA (1685 nucleotides) under Homo sapiens (human). Its description in RNAcentral is "non-protein coding lnc-AK6-6:7". The record is from RNAcentral. Lineage: Eukaryota; Metazoa; Chordata; Mammalia; Primates; Hominidae.
UGUGGAUGUGAUCCGUGUGAACAGCUACUACUCUUGGUAUCGCAACUACGGGCACCUGGAGUUGAUUCAGCUGCAGCUGGCCGCCCAGUUUGAGAAUUGGUGUAAGACAUCACAAUCCCAUUAUUCAGAGCGCGUAUGGAGUGGAAACGCUUGUAGGGCUUCACCAGUCUUUCCCAGGGAACUCCGAUGAAGUGUUCCAACAAAAUGAGCGAGUGAACCAAGAAGAGGAUGACAUUAGAUCCAGGAGAUACAACAGAGGAGAUAAUCUCCAGGAUGCCUGUGAAGAAAGAUCCCUGGAUCCCAGGAUGAUUAUAGGACAAGUUGUUCAUAAUCCAGCAGGCCAGAAGACUUCCAGGGAAACUCAUUCAAGGAGGUGAAAAUGAUGGAUGACUCCUCCAAGAUGAAAAUGGACCAGCCGCAGUGGCUCACGCCUGUAAUACCAGCACUUUGGGAGGCUGAGGCAGGCGGAUCACUUGAGGUCAGGAGUUUGAAACUAGCCUGGCCAACGUGGCAAAACUCCAUCUCUAUUAAAAAUACAAAAAUUAGCCAAGCAUAGUGGUGCAUGCCUGUAGUCCCAGCUACUUGGGAUGCUGAGGCAGGAAGAAUUGCUUGAACCUGGGAGGCAGAGUCUACAGUGAGCCGAGAUCAUGCCACUGCACUCCAGCCUGGGCAACACAGUGAGACUCCAUCUCAAAAAAAAAAAAAAAAAAAUUAAGCAGAUGGCUAUAAUUUUUUUAAAAAUAGAAAAGUGUUGAUGAGAAAUGGGAAACCUCAUACAUUGUUGGUCAAACUGUAUGCUUCCAUUUAGAGGAAAUAGUCAGAACAAAUAAAUCCAUAGACACCAAUUAGGUUGGUGUAUCCCAGGGGCUGGGCAUGGAGUGGGGUGGAGAGAGAAGGAGGGCCUGCUUAGUGGAUACAGAGUUUUCUUUGGGGGCGAUGAAAGUGUUUUGGAACUAGAUAGAGGGGGUGGUUGCACAACAUUGUUGUUGGUGGGAAUUUAAAAUGGUGCAAGCACUGUGGAAAAAACAGUUUAGCAUUUCCUCAAAAAGUUAAAACAGGCCAGGCGCUGUGGCUCACGCUUGUAAUUCCAGCACUUUGGGAGGCCAAGCCAGGUGGAUCACUUGAGGUCAGGAGUUUGAGACCAGCCUAGCCAACAUGGUGAAACCCUAAAAAUACAAAAAAUUAGCCGGGCAUGGUGGCAGACACCUGUAAUCCCAGCUACUCAGGAGACUGAGGCAGGAAAAUUGCUUGAACCUGGGAGGCGGAGGUUGCAGUGAGCUGAGAUCGCACCGCUGCACUCCAGCCUGAGUGACAGAGUGAGACUCUGUGUGAGAAAAAAAAAAAAAAAGUAAAAACAUAGAAUUACUAUACAGCUAGCAAUAUCGUUGUUAGGUAUAUGCCCCAGAGACUUGAAUACAGUUACAUGCUCCAUCAGAUACCUGUACCCAAAUGUUCCUAUCGGUAUUACUCAUGGUAGCCAAAAGGUAGAAACAACCCAAAUAUCUACAAAUAGAUGAAUGGAUAAAUAAAAUGCAGUGUAUCCAUAUGGAAUAUUACUUGGUCUCAAAAGGAAAGAAGUACUUAUGCAAGCUACAACAUGGAUAAACUUCAAAACAAUAUGCCAAGUGAAAGAAUCCAAAUGCAAAAGGUCAAACGGUAUGCUUCCAUUUAGAGGAAAUAGUCAG